RNAcentral lists this ribosomal RNA (460 nucleotides) under uncultured bacterium. Its description in RNAcentral is "partial 16S ribosomal RNA". It matches the Rfam family "Bacterial small subunit ribosomal RNA", at positions 338 to 795 of the family's 1533-position model. The record is from RNAcentral.
CCUACGGGAGGCAGCAGUGAGGAAUAUUGGUCAAUGGACGAGAGUCUGAACCAGCCAAGUAGCGUGAAGGAUGACUGCCCUAUGGGUUGUAAACCUCUUUUAUAUGGGAUCAAAAUGUCCCACGUGUGGGUUUUUGUAUGUACCAUAUGAAUAAGGAUCGGCUAACUCCGUGCCAGCAGCCGCGGUAAUACGGAGGAUCCGAGCGUUAUCCGGAUUUAUUGGGGUUAAAGGGUGCGCAGGUGGAUUGUUAAGUCAGUUGUGAAAGGUUGCGGCUCAACCCUGAAAUUGCAGUUGAAACUGGCAGUGUUGAGUGGAGGAGAGGUAGGCGGAAUGCGUGGUGUAGCGGUGAAAUGCUUAGAUAUCACGAAGAACUCCGAUUGCGAAGGCAGCUCGCUGGACUGCAACUGACGCUGAGGCUCGAAAGUGUGGGUAUCAAACAGGAUUAGAUACCCCUGUAGUC